RNAcentral lists this ribosomal RNA (751 nucleotides) under uncultured archaeon. Its description in RNAcentral is "bacterial SSU rRNA". It matches the Rfam family "Archaeal small subunit ribosomal RNA", at positions 102 to 856 of the family's 1478-position model. The record is from RNAcentral.
AGUCAACAUGCCCAGGGGACGUGGAUAACCUCGGGAAACUGAGGAUAGACCGCGAUAGGUCAUCACUUCUGGAAUGGGUAAUGACUUAAACCUAUAUGGCCCCUGGAUUGGACUGCGGCCGAUCAGGCUGUUGGUGAGGUAAUGGCCCACCAAACCUGUAACCGGUACGGGCUCUGAGAGGAGGAGCCCGGAGAUGGGCACUGAGACAAGGGCCCAGGCCCUAUGGGGCGCAGCAGGCGCGAAACCUCUGCAAUAGGCGAAAGCUUGACAGGGUUACUCUGAGUGAUUUCCGUUAAGGAGAUCUUUUGGCACCUCUAAAAAUGGUGCAGAAUAAGGGGUGGGCAAGUCUGGUGUCAGCCGCCGCGGUAAUACCAGCACCCCGAGUGGUCGGGACGUUUAUUGGGCCUAAAGCAUCCGUAGCCGGUUCUACAAGUCUUCCGUUAAAUCCACCUGCUUAACAGAUGGGCUGCGGAAGAUACUAUAGAGCUAGGAGGCGGGAGAGGCAAGCGGUACUCGAUGGGUAGGGGUAAAAUCCGUUGAUCCAUUGAAGACCACCAGUGGCGAAGGCGGCUUGCCAGAACGCGCUCGACGGUGAGGGAUGAAAGCUGGGGGAGCAAACCGGAUUAGAUACCCGGGUAGUCCCAGCUGUAAACGAUGCAGACUCGGUGAUGAAUUGGCUUAUUGCUAAUUCAGUGCCGCAGGGAAGCCGUUAAGUUUGCCGCCUGGGGAGUACGGUCGCAAGACUGAAACU